Long non-coding RNA from Homo sapiens (human), 668 nucleotides. NCBI's taxonomy places the organism in Eukaryota, Metazoa, Chordata, Mammalia, Primates, Hominidae. The record is from Ensembl.
GUAUUUGUUGUGUGCAUGCCCGCAGAAUGGGAUACAGAGACUCACUCUAUUCAUCAGGGAUUUGUUUUAAUCAGGAAUUGGCAGGCAUGGGAAGAGCACGCUGUCCAGGGUCGGCAAGGCCUGGAAAUGUCAGAGCAUCAGAAUACUGAAAAUAAAAGACAUGGUUAAAUCUAUUUUGGUGGCGAGGCUGGGGACACUGGGAAUAUGAUACUGAUCAAUCUAGAAUGUGUGGAGGAGUGGACAGCAGUUUUUAAUCAGACAAGACCUUCAACCCCGGCACAGACCAUCAAUUGGCAGCUCCAAGAUUGGCAAGUGACCCAGACCCAGCCAAUCAAACAUACUCUGUGAUGGCAUCAGGAGGUGGGUUCGUGAGCCCAGCUUGUCUGAUCUGAGUCAGUCCCUGGACCUCUGCUGGGGAAUUGGGGAAGAGGCUUCUCUUUUCUACUGACCUUGCUGGGCUGAUGGGAGGAUCAGGAUCUGCUGGGGCAUCUUUGCCACCUCAUGAGAACUGUGUGACCCAGAAGGGAGCCCACCCAGGAGGACGCCAGCCUGAGAAAUGGAAGAGAACCCUUCCUGAUGAUGUCAUUUUGCACCAAGAUCCAGCUGUGCCUGUAGUCAAAUACUGCCGGGACAUUAAGUUUCUGGAGUGAAGAUAUUCAUGUUUUCAC